AGUGAACGCUGGCGGUAGGCCUAACACAUGCAAGUCGAACGGCAGCACAGGAGAGCUUGCUCUCUGGGUGGCGAGUGGCGGACGGGUGAGGAAUACAUCGGAAUCUACUCUGUCGUGGGGGAUAACGUAGGGAAACUUACGCUAAUACCGCAUACGACCUACGGGUGAAAGCAGGGGACCUUCGGGCCUUGCGCAAUUGAAUGAGCCGAUGUCGGAUUAGCUAGUUGGCGGGGUAAAGGCCCACCAAGGCGACGAUCCGUAGCUGGUCUGAGAGGAUGAGCAGCCAAACUGGAACUGAGACACGGUCCAGACUCCUACGGGAGGCAGCAGUGGGGAAUAUUGGACAAUGGGCGCAAGCCUGAUCCAGCCAUACCGCGUGGGUGAAGAAGGCCUUCGGGUUGUAAAGCCCUUUUGUUGGGAAAGAAAUCCAGCUGGCUAAUACCCGGUUGGGAUGACGGUACCCAAAGAAUAAGCACCGGCUAACUUCGUGCCAGCCGCCGCAGUAA
RNAcentral lists this ribosomal RNA (506 nucleotides) under uncultured bacterium. RNAcentral describes it as "partial 16S ribosomal RNA". It matches the Rfam family "Bacterial small subunit ribosomal RNA", at positions 29 to 523 of the family's 1533-position model. The record is from RNAcentral.